AUUGAACGCUGGCGGCAGGCCUAACACAUGCAAGUCGAACGAGUGGCGGACGGGUGAGUAAUGUCUGGGAAACUGCCUGAUGGAGGGGGAUAACUACUGGAAACGGUAGCUAAUACCGCAUACCAUCGGAUGUGCCGAGAUGGGAUUAGCUAGUAGGGGGGGUAAAGGCUCACCAAGGCGACGAUCCCCAGCUGGUUUGAGAGGACGACCGGACAACUGGGAACUGAGACACGGUCCAGACGCCUACGGGAGGCAGCAGUGGGGAAUAUUGCACAAUGGGCGCAAGCCUGAUGCAGCCAUGCCGCGUGUAUGAAGAAGGCCUUCGGGUUGUAAAGUACUUUCAGCGGGGAGGCGUUACCCGCAGAAGAAGCACCGGCUAACUCCGUGCCAGCAGCCGCGGUAAUAC
Molecule: ribosomal RNA, 406 nt
Filed under: uncultured bacterium
Lineage: Bacteria
Description: partial 16S ribosomal RNA
Rfam family: Bacterial small subunit ribosomal RNA
Source: RNAcentral